Molecule: transfer RNA, 64 nt
Filed under: Cavia porcellus (domestic guinea pig)
Lineage: Eukaryota; Metazoa; Chordata; Mammalia; Rodentia; Caviidae
Rfam family: tRNA
About the family: Transfer RNA (tRNA) molecules are approximately 80 nucleotides in length.
Source: Rfam by way of RNAcentral
GGGGAUUUAGCUCAGCGGCAUAAGUACCUGCCUUGCAAGCAGGUGGCCGUGAGUUCAAUCCUCG